CAGACCCAGCAGGGCCUGGCCCAGUUUCCAGCCUGGCCCCCAGCACUAUUCCCUGCAAAGGGAGGGGCCCUCGGUGCUGACAGAGGAGCACCUAAUCCGAGUCAUUAGUGCUGGUGGCGGCGUGAUUCCUGCCAAACGGGAGCCACGUGUUGCCCUGUGUCAACCCUGAGGCAUCAAAGAUGGUGCUGCUGUCACCCAGCAGUGCUGACAGAUUGCCCAGUGGAGCAGAGAAUACCAAUUUAACACUAUUUAGGACAGUAUUGUGAAGUAUAUCUUGAGCUAUGAAUUAUCACUCAGAAGAUGCCAGUGGGAGGCCAAGUUCAAAAAGGAUGUUCCUAAGAAGGUGGAGGUGUUGGAUCACGAGCUCACUUUCUCUGUUUGAAAUGAGGCAUUGCAAUGGCAUGUUGCAAUUCCAGCAGGGUUAUUUUGGUAGAGAACAAACAAUUGCUGGUGAGGCGUGUGCGAGUCUGAGAGGGCGAGACGCUGCUGGGGAAAAUUUGGAAGGAGGAAAGGAAACUUGCCUUAAUGUAAGCAGCAGUUUUGCUAGAGCAAAUAUCCAUUACAGACUUGUCUGUCCUCAUCUGGAUUUUGAAAAAUGAUCAAAACCUGCCACUACAUCUUUAUACUUUGAGAAAAUGUCUGGUAUUCUCUCCUAUCAGAAU
RNAcentral lists this long non-coding RNA (662 nucleotides) under Ficedula albicollis (Collared flycatcher). Its description in RNAcentral is "lncRNA (ENSFALG00000026021.1)". The record is from RNAcentral. Lineage: Eukaryota; Metazoa; Chordata; Aves; Passeriformes; Muscicapidae.